GACGAACGCUGGCGGCGUGCCUAAUACAUGCAAGUAGGACGCAGUUGCGAACGGGUGAGUAACGCGUAGGUAACUGCCUAUCAGAGGGGGAUAACUAUUGGAAACGAUAGCUAAUUCCGCCUACUAGUAGAUGGACCUGCUUUGUAUUAGCUAGUAGGUAGGUUAAUGGCCUACCUAGGCACCGAUACAUAGCCGACCUGAGAGGGGGAUCGUCAACAGUGGGAUUGAGACACUGCCCAGACGCAUACGGUGAGCAGAAGUGGGGAAUCUUCGGCGAUGGGCGGAAGACUGACCAGGCGACGCCGCGUGAGUGAGGAGGGGAUUCGGGUCUUAAAGCUCUGUUGAUAGGGAAGCGGUACUGAAACAGAAAGGGACGGCUAACUACGUGCCAGCAGCCGCGGUAAUAG
This 407-nucleotide ribosomal RNA is filed under the name uncultured bacterium. Its description in RNAcentral is "partial 16S ribosomal RNA". It matches the Rfam family "Bacterial small subunit ribosomal RNA", at positions 28 to 526 of the family's 1533-position model. The record is from RNAcentral.